Molecule: long non-coding RNA, 533 nt
Filed under: Salmo salar (Atlantic salmon)
Lineage: Eukaryota; Metazoa; Chordata; Actinopteri; Salmoniformes; Salmonidae
Description: lncRNA (ENSSSAG00000082249.1, ENSSSAG00000110888.1, ENSSSAG00020063075.1)
Source: RNAcentral
AAGCACAAUAACAUUCGACCUGCCGCCCCCCAAACGACUCAUUCUCCAGUUUGAGUUUGUUGAGCAGAGGCUGUGUAUGUUUUAGUUCUAUAAAGCCGUGUCCAUUAUAACAUUCAGUAAUCAAUUCAUUGCAUGAAGUAUUGCACCAUGCAAUCAAUUGUCAGUUCUAAACAUGUCUUUUCUCUAUGCUUGGGAUGCAUUUCCCUGCAUUUGACAGAGGGUUGGUGGUUGGAGCACAUCUUUGGAGCCGCUGAGCCGGAGGAGCCCGUAUUAAUCCUGCUGUAGGACUCAUUGCAGCCGGCACUGGCAGGUUGAACAAACAACAACCAAAAUGAACGAGGAUGCCCACAAGCCUCACAAGACUCGUCUGAAGGUCCUGGGUACCAGUAAUGAAUGUCGUCACAAGGUGCAGAGCGUUCGAUCUGGCUGCCGGUGGGCAAGGAGACCCCAGCUCCGCAUGACAUAGACUGACCAGGUGAAAGGUAUGAUCCCUUAUUGAUGUCACUUGUUAAAUCCACUUCAAUCAGUGUCGA